GCUGGGCGUGGUGGCGCAUGCCUGUAAUCCCAGCUGCUUGGGAGGCUGAGGCAGGAUUACGAGUUCAAAGCCAGCCUCAG
Molecule: small RNA, 80 nt
Filed under: Marmota monax (woodchuck)
Lineage: Eukaryota; Metazoa; Chordata; Mammalia; Rodentia; Sciuridae
Source: RNAcentral